UGAGCAAUCUGCCCUUCUCAUCGGAAUAAGCGUUGGAAACGACGUCUAAUGCCGAAUACGACCUCCUUUCGCAUGAUCGGAGGUGGAAAGCUCCGGCGGUGAAGGAUGAGCUCGCGGCCUAUCAGCUUGUUGGUGAGGUAAUAGCUCACCAAGGCGACGACGGGUAGCCGGCCUGAGAGGGCGACCGGCCACACUGGGACUGAGACACGGCCCAGACUCCUAGGAGG
RNAcentral lists this ribosomal RNA (227 nucleotides) under uncultured bacterium. RNAcentral describes it as "partial 16S ribosomal RNA". It matches the Rfam family "Bacterial small subunit ribosomal RNA", at positions 118 to 348 of the family's 1533-position model. The record is from RNAcentral.